CGCAGACUAGCUGUUGACAUUAUAGUUGCGCGGGCACUUUGUUGACUCUAGAGAAUCUCGGGCCAAAUCGCACAUCCCUGUGGCGGCGACUUUGCAUCUGGAUGUCAUCCAUAUAAACUUUGGAUUCCAGUUUCUGCACCUACCAUGGUGACCACGGGUAACGGGGAAUCAGGGUUCCAUUCCGUACAGGGACCCUGAGAAACGGCUACCACAUGCAAGGAAGGCAGCAGGUGCGGAAAUGACCCACUUCCGACGCGGGAAGGUAGUGACG
This is a non-coding RNA of Pelobates cultripes (western spadefoot toad), 271 nucleotides long. NCBI's taxonomy places the organism in Eukaryota, Metazoa, Chordata, Amphibia, Anura, Pelobatidae. The record is from the annotation of a GenBank genome assembly.